RNAcentral lists this ribosomal RNA (113 nucleotides) under Cricetulus griseus (Chinese hamster). Lineage: Eukaryota; Metazoa; Chordata; Mammalia; Rodentia; Cricetidae. The record is from RNAcentral.
GUCUAUGACUGUAUCACCCUGAAUGCACACAAUCUCAUCUGAUCUCAGAAGCUAAGCAGGGUCAGACCUGGUUAGCACUUGGAUGGGAGAACAGUUUUCUGGUUUUGUCUUCC